UCUCCUGGAAACGGGUGGUAAUGCCGGAUGCUCCGACUCCUCGCAUGGGGUGUCGGGAAAGAUUUCAUCGGUAUGGGAUGGGGUCGCGUCCUAUCAGGUAGUCGGCGGGGUAACGGCCCACCGAGCCUACGACGGGUAGCCGGCCUGAGAGGGCGACCGGCCACAUUGGGACUGAGAUACGGCCCAGACUCCUACGGGAGGCAGCAGUGGGGAAUAUUGCACAAUGGGCGCAAGCCUGAUGCAGCGACGCCGCGUGCGGGAUGACGGCCUUCGGGUUGUAAACCGCUUUUGAUCGGGAGCAAGCCUUCGGGUGAGUGUACCUUUCGAAUAAGCACCGGCUAACUACGUGCCAGCAGCCGCGGUAAUACGUAGGGUGCAAGCGUUAUCCGGAAUUAUUGGGCGUAAAGGGCUCGUAGGCGGUUCGUCGCGUCCGGUGUGAAAGUCCAUCGCUUAACGGUGGAUCUGCGCCGGGUACGGGCGGGCUGGAGUGCGGUAGGGGAGACUGGAAUUCCCGGUGUAACGGUGGAAUGUGUAGAUAUCGGAAAGAACACC
RNAcentral lists this ribosomal RNA (552 nucleotides) under Bifidobacterium pseudocatenulatum. RNAcentral's name for it is "bacterial SSU rRNA". It matches the Rfam family "Bacterial small subunit ribosomal RNA", at positions 146 to 710 of the family's 1533-position model. Lineage: Bacteria; Bacillati; Actinomycetota; Actinomycetes; Bifidobacteriales; Bifidobacteriaceae. The record is from RNAcentral.